This 254-nucleotide ribosomal RNA is filed under the name uncultured bacterium. Its description in RNAcentral is "partial 16S ribosomal RNA". It matches the Rfam family "Bacterial small subunit ribosomal RNA", at positions 524 to 776 of the family's 1533-position model. The record is from RNAcentral.
UACGAAGGGGGCUAGCGUUGCUCGGAAUUACUGGGCGUAAAGCGCACGUAGGCGGCUUUCUAAGUCGGGGGUGAAAUCCUGGAGCUCAACUCCAGAACUGCCUUCGAUACUGGAAAGCUCGAGUCCGGGAGAGGUGAGUGGAACUGCGAGUGUAGAGGUGAAAUUCGUAGAUAUUCGCAAGAACACCAGUGGCGAAGGCGGCUCACUGGCCCGGUACUGACGCUGAGGUGGCGAAAGCGUGGGGAGCAAACAGG